This is a non-coding RNA of Styela clava, 1671 nucleotides long. The record is from RefSeq and is a predicted model, not a curated record. NCBI's taxonomy places the organism in Eukaryota, Metazoa, Chordata, Ascidiacea, Stolidobranchia, Styelidae.
GCAUUGUUUUAAGGAUCGAGGAAAGAUAUUAAAACAGCAGUUUAAAAAUGCGACAACGGCAAUGGAAGAGGAAGUGAAAGAAAUCAUUCUUUUCAACAAAACAAAAGAUUGUCCAGCUUCGAACAGAUAAAUUUUAUGACGGUAACUUUUAUUGCAUUAGAGUUUUCACAAUUCAUUCUCAAAAUAAAUAUUGAACUUUGUGAAGUACGUCGCAAUGAUGCAUGCUACUGGACAUAUGCUACCUAUUCUCACACCCUAACAUACUCAGCAGCGAAGGAAAUAUGUAAAAAAAAAAUUCUACUGUAGCUAUCAUACCUAAUUGAUCUGGUUACGGUGAUGUUCGUGCCAGUCUGAACAAAAGAAUUACAAAAGUACGGGCCGAAUAUGUGGAUGCAUGGCUUGAAAUCAGGGUUGAUCCAAGGAGUGAACAAAUCACCUACCCCGAUCCUGAUGUGUUCAAAUCAUGGGGAUAUAAAUAGCGCACCAUUCAAGGGAGAGGACAAAACUUAAGUGUUUGUUUUCUUUGCCCAGGUUUUAUGGAAUAAGAAACGGUGCCCCAACGGGUUACCAAAGCGCGGUUGUUUGCCAAAUAUUAAGUCAAACGAUCAAAAAAUGAAUUUGAGACAAUGCAUUGUAGACUUCACUAACAUUUGUAUUAUUCAACCGAUGUGAACCGUGCUUUGAAUGAAAACGCUCAUUUAUAUAUUAUAGCAUUAGAACGUUUCGUGCUCAAAUUCUUUGAAAUAUAUUUCAAUACUUAGAAACAUGAUUUGGCAAGCACGAAAAUUGUUUUUUUGUUGCAGUAUAUAUUGUUACUACUAUUUUGAUGAAGAUAAGUAACCUUGGCUAUAGUCGGAAGAAAUAUUCUGUAUUCUUUUUUAGCCUCUCUUGUUCAUCCCGUUCACUGCAGCAGAUUUGACUUUAUUAAAAUAACCAAAUGCCAACUGCUAAACUUCCCUGAUCCAAGUGUCUGUUCCGCACCGCUAACACCUGUGGCUUACGAUGAGUAUUUUGUCAGAUAACCUAUUUGUUCUAUACCAGGGGGGACGGGGGCAAGUUUUUUGGACCAGGGGCCAACAAUUUUGUUCAACUAGAUUUGCGGGCCAUGUUAGCGUGACAUAAGAAGUUACAUUUGAUGAACAGAAUUUUAUUUACAGUGUUACAAGAGCAAAAGUGGAAAAAAUGAGCCUUGUGCCAAAACUAAAUUCCAUCACCAUUUCGACAAAUUUCAUGAGCUAUUUUUAGCUCAAACAUCAAAAUUUGGUUUUAGUUUGGUUGUGGCAGCAUCAGCCGGGCCAGUUCAAAUUUGCCAACGGGACGGAGUUGGCCCGCGAGCCGUAGUUUUUUUCAUGUCAGUUCUAUAAGAUUCAUGUCUAACUCCACCAGGCUAACCCUUACUGAACUUCCAUCGACAAAUCCUACACGCUAACACCACUACCUGAUAUUCUGCAAUAUACGCAGUCGAAAGUUUUUGUGGCGUAUAUGAGGUUGCAGUGUGACAAGGAAGUCAAAGGAGCUCAAUGUUUCAGAAAUAUUACAGUAAUUUAUUCUCAAAUACAUUCCAAUCUAUUAUUUAGUUUGGGGUAGUAUUUCCCCAGGCUUGUUCAUGGGACAUAUUUUUCUGUCCCAUUCCCAUCACAUAGCAAUUAUGCCCGUCCCAUCCCAUCCCCU